AACGAACGCUGGCGGCAGGCUUAAUACAUGCAAGUCGAACGUGAAAGUCCUUCGGGAUGAGUAAAGUGGCGCACGGGUGAGUAACGCGUGGGAAUGUACCCUUGGAUACGGGAUAACUGCGGGAAACUGUAGCUAAUACCGUAUAAUGUCUUCGGACCAAAGAUUUAUCGUCCAAGGAUCAGCCCGCGUUGGAUUAGCUAGUUGGUGGGGUAAUGGCCUACCAAGGCGACGAUCUAUAGCUGGUCUGAGAGGAUGAUCAGCCACACUGGAACUGAGACACGGUCCAGACUCCUACGGGAGGCAGCAGUAGGGAAUAUUGGGCAAUGGACGCAAGUCUGACCCAGCCAUGCCGCGUGAAUGAUGAAGGCCUUAGGGUUGUAAAGUUCUUUCGCAGGUGAAGAUAAUGACGGUAACCUGAUAAGAAGCCCCGGCUAACUUCGUGCCAGCCGCCGCCGUAA
Molecule: ribosomal RNA, 458 nt
Filed under: uncultured bacterium
Lineage: Bacteria
Description: partial 16S ribosomal RNA
Rfam family: Bacterial small subunit ribosomal RNA
Source: RNAcentral